GGCCGCUCGGCGUUGGCGGUACCUGUUCCGUUCCCGCUGUCUUCCUCUCGCCUUGGAUGCGUGACAGGAGCCAACUCGCCUCUGGUGGGCUCUGGGAGCCGCGGGGCUGUAACCCUUUGCAGGAAGUUGGCACGGCUCCCAGACCCGACGCGAAAGGAAGAAAAAUGGGAAGAGAACAGCUCCAAGCCGGCAGGACAAUGCAUGGGGGACGGGGAGAUCAGCGUAGCUCUCGGAAUCCAUCUCGCCCGCCCCGCUUCGGAACCGCUCGCCCCCGCGCAUCGUCCGCAUGGUACUCGCAGCUCCUGAAUUAUUCCAGUCCAUGAGCGGGAGGGAGCGCACAGUCCGGAGUCCCUCCGAGCUGCCAAGAGCAUUGCAACAGGAAAGAAAGAAAGCGCGAGAGGGAGAGCGAGGCAGAGUCCUCACAAUCGAGCAGCGAGAAGAGCAAGGAGAAAUUAACAUCCAAUUAGCGCCGUGUUUAACGAGGGAGACAGAGGCGGCUGUUGUUUUAUUGCCCUGUUCUUUUCAGGCACAUCUGACAGGCAGCGGGGAAGGCACCCCUGCUCGAAGUGACGUCAUCAUAUUUUAUUUUUUUUUUAUUAUGAUUUUUUUUUUUUUCCUUUUCCCCCCGUCUUUCCUCUUCCAAGUUUCACGGCGAGGUCUCGGCAACUUGGCCAGGGCGACGCGGGGCUUCGGGCCGACGGCUCUGCCCUCCGCCUCCGGCCUCGAUCCCCCCUCCCCAGCACCGGCCCUGGAAAACAAACACCAACCCCAGCCCGAAGUCUUUGUUCUUCCAAACAAUUAAAAAUAAAGGAAAAAAAAAAAAAAUAAAGGAAAAAAAUAAACAUUCAGGUCAACCCGGAGGAGGUUUCUGCGCUCUGUGUGUGCCUGCGUCCGUCUCGCUCGCGUUCCUCUUCCGAGACGGCUCGCUCGGCUUGUAAAACUUUGCAGCAUGUGACGCUGCUCCCAGCCUCCUUUGGCAGAGUGACAAGAACCGCGCUGCCGGGAUCGGAGAGCGCAGGCGGCUUUUAAGGAAGAAACUCAAUUCGCCGAGAUUAGAGAAUUAGGGAUGUUUUAAUCAAGGGACCGUGAGGGGCUGCCAGCGGGCGGCCGGGAGGGACGGCACUGGGGCGAGCGGCCGCGAGGACGGCAGUGCCGUGGCCCCGUGUGGGGCUGUGCUGGGGGGAGAGGAGCUGCGUUGCAAACAGGGGAGACUUAAUGCAAUGUCCUCGGCUCUCUCCUCCCCCCGGGGCGGGGGGGCCGCGGCGCCAUGUGAGCAGGGUGGGAGGAAGGCCCGUGGGCCUCGGCCUUCCCCUCAGGCCUGGGGUCUCCUCGCAGGGAGGAAGCAAGGCCGCGGGGCCCCGUGUGCUGCUGGACGGGGGGGUUGGCUGGAGGUGCGGGCAGAAUUUCCUCCAAAAGGCUCUGCACAAAGCAGGGGGGGUGCGGAAGGCUGCUCGACACCUCCUCGGAGCUGCCCGUAGCCUGUGGCUGCGCGUGGGGACAUGCGGCCUGCAUGGCGGGCCGGGCCGCAGCUCAGCGCUCCGGCUGUGCCGAUCACCGCCUUUUUUCCUCGUCUCUAGCCAAAAUUUCUCUCAGUUCCCUCCCUGCCUGCUCCGCCUCUUGCUCUGUGCCCCCAGCAGGUCCUGCUCCGUGCUCUCCAUCACCUCCCGCCCCGCUCCUCCCCACCCUCGUGCCACUGUGAGAGGGGACAGCUCUGCAGCCUCCAUGCCCCUGUCCUGAGUCCCCAUCCCGAACCCUCCCCAGUGGGACUGGGCUGCACCAGCCAGCUCUCCAGGGGUUAUUUUUAUUAUUGAAUAACUGUUUGCCUCCGUGGAUCUCCCUGCUGCAGGAGAGCAGCACAAAGAGACCCGCCAUGGGCAGCAGUGCUGCGGGGGCAUUCCCUCACUCCCCAUAAGCCUAACACUGGGGUGACAGCACUGGGAAAAGCGUGCUCAGCCGGUCUUUGUCUUAGCUGAAGGGUUUUUAGCAGCAGAACUCUGCAGGGGGAAGGUGAGGAAGGGCCCCAGGGAGGCUCGGGGCUGCCUUGACCUGAGCUUCCCUCUCCCCGCUGCGCUCUCUGUCUCCUUUGUCCCCCCGGCAGCUGGGAGCAGAUGAGGCCAAAGUCCUGGUAAUCUCUGCUUUCCACUGGGGAAUGAUAAACUGCAGGCACGGGGUGGUUGCAAUCUCCACCCAUCCCAUUUCUGUGCUGGAGAGUCAAUAUUUAAACACAAGUUUGUUUCCUGGCUAGGUAGGGGAGCGCCUGUGCGUGGGCCCCAGGUGCCAGAUCCAACCCUCCUUCCAUACCAGUUCAUUUGUUCUCCCAAAUGCAGUUUCACCCCUGAGCCCCGCUCCUGUAGGAGCAGGGCCCCAUCCUUCUCACCUGUGCUGCAGGGGCUGGGCACCUGCUAACAGGCAGCAAUUAAAGGGGAGGGGCUGCUAGGCAGUGUUUUUUUGCCUUGCCUGUUCCAUAGAGGGCCACCUCAAGAGAAGCAAGGGACAAGAAGAACCAGAAAGCAGGAGCUCCUCUCAGAGGCCCUCAUCAAUGCAAGGCACGUUACAAACUGGUUCUCUCCCUUCGUGUGUGGUUAUGGCUUGGUCCCUGAAGGCCAAUCUGAGUAUCAGCCUUCCCAAAUGACUACCUGGGACCCACAUCUGUUCUGUGGCUUCAUACAAAGCCGCUUCUGUUUACAAGAUGCACUUCUCUAUGAGAGUUUUGGGGGUCAUCCUCAGUCUGGAGAGGACAGGCAGAGGGACAG
Long non-coding RNA from Numida meleagris (helmeted guineafowl), 2753 nucleotides. RefSeq lists it as uncharacterized. The record is from RefSeq and is a predicted model, not a curated record. NCBI's taxonomy places the organism in Eukaryota, Metazoa, Chordata, Aves, Galliformes, Numididae. The transcript has 3 exons.